CGCGGUAUACGUAGGGUGCAGCGUUAAUCGGAAUUACUGGGCGUAAAGCGUGCGCAGGCGGUUCGGAAAGAAAGAUGUGAAAUCCCAGGGCUUAACCUUGGAACUGCAUUUUUAACUACCGGGCUAGAGUGUGUCAGAGGGAGGUGGAAUUCCGCGUGUAGCAGUGAAAUGCGUAGAUAUGCGGAGGAACACCGAUGGCGAAGGCAGCCUCCUGGGAUAACACUGACGCUCAUGCACGAAAGCGUUAAGUGAUCCACA
RNAcentral lists this ribosomal RNA (258 nucleotides) under Cardinium endosymbiont of Sepsis punctum. RNAcentral's name for it is "partial 16S ribosomal RNA". It matches the Rfam family "Bacterial small subunit ribosomal RNA", at positions 516 to 777 of the family's 1533-position model. Lineage: Bacteria; Pseudomonadati; Bacteroidota; Cytophagia; Cytophagales; Amoebophilaceae. The record is from RNAcentral.